UUGCCCGAAUCCUGACACAGGGAGGUAGUGACAAGAAAUAACAAUACAGGGCUACUUCUAGUCUUGUAAUUGGAAUGAGUACAACUUACAUCUCUUCACGAGGAUCAACUGGAGGGCAAGUCUGGUGCCAGCAGCCGCGGUAAUUCCAGCUCCAGAAGCGUAUAUUAAAGUUGUUGCAGUUAAAACGCUCGUAGUCGGGUUUCGGGUCGGGCCGAGCGGUCUGCCGAUGGGUAUGCGCUGUUUGGCGCGGCCUUCUUUCCGGAGACCGCGGCUACUCUUAACUGAGCGGGCGUGGGAGACGGAUCGUUUACUUUGAAAAAAUCAGAGUGUUUCAAGCAGGCAGCUCGCUCUUGCAUGGUACAGCAUGGGAUGAUUGAAUAGGACUCCGGUGCUAUUUUGUUGGUUUCGAACACCAGGAGUAAUGAUUAACAGGGACAGUCAGGGGCACUCGUAUUCCGUCGAGAGAGGUGAAAUUCUCAGACCAAUGGAAGACGAACCACUGCGAAAGCAUUUGCCAGGGAUGUUUUCACUGAUCAAGAACGAAAGUUAGGGGAUCGAAGACGAUCAGAUACCGUCGUAGUCUUAACCAUAAACCAUGCCGACUAGGGAUUGGAGGGUGUUCGUUUCGACCUCUUCAGCACCUUACGGGAAACUAAAGUCUUUGGGUUCCGGGGGGAGUAUGGUCGCAAGGCUGAAACUUAAAGGAAUUGACGGAAGGGCACCACCAGGAGUGGAGCCUGCGGCUUAAUUUGACUCAACACGGGGAAACUUACCAGGUCCAGUCAUUGUUAGGAUUGACAGA
Molecule: ribosomal RNA, 802 nt
Filed under: uncultured marine Phaeocystaceae
Lineage: Eukaryota; Haptophyta; Phaeocystales; Phaeocystaceae
Description: SSU rRNA
Rfam family: Eukaryotic small subunit ribosomal RNA
Source: RNAcentral